Molecule: long non-coding RNA, 635 nt
Filed under: Ananas comosus (pineapple)
Lineage: Eukaryota; Viridiplantae; Streptophyta; Magnoliopsida; Poales; Bromeliaceae
Description: long non-coding RNA (ACOM_LNC018425)
Source: RNAcentral
GCAAGUGGCAAAUGGCUUUGUGGUUGGUACCCGAGACCCAAGUUUGAAUACUAGUUGAUUCACAUUUCUUGCUAAGUUUAUUUCUAAAUAAAAUAAACAAAGCGGGUAGCAUGCUACCUAUCUCUUAAAAAAAAAAAAAAAUCUUUUGCAAAUCAGACAUUUAUUUCUACUUCUGUUUUUAAUUAUACAUAUAUAUUGUGAGACCCCAGAUAGUCCUAUAUAUGAGAUAUAAUAGGGCUAAACUCUUAACCCGGCUUAAGCAUUUUGGGUGGUGGCAAGGCCCAAGAGGUUAAGAGAGUUAAGCGUACUAGGAUGGGAGUAGUCCUAGGAUGGGUGACCUCCUGGGAAGUCGGGGCGUCACAAAUGGUAUCAGAGCCAAUUACCAGCCGGAAGUGUGAGAUGAGUCUCGGCUGAGCCAGGGUCUCGAUGACGGGCUAGCGAGAUGAGUCUCACAUCGCCUGAUACUUGUGAGUCUGAGCCUGACGAGAACGUCAGGGCUUAAAGGAGGGGAGAUUGUGAGACCCCAGAUAGUCCUAUAUAUGAGAUAUAAUAUGACUAAAUUUUUAACCCGACUUAAGCAUUUUGGGUGGCGGCAAGGCCCAAGAGGUUAAGAGAGUUGAGCGUGCUAGGACGAU